AAGAGAGAAAGAGAAAGAAAGAAAGAAAAGAAAGAAACAUUUUUGUCCAAAAACAUGUCAUCAAUUUCAUAUGCUUUAACCCAAUAUCAUAACAGUUAAAUAACAGCCACCCUCUCCCCACACUCCCUCAUGCCUGUUCUGGGGCCAUUCCUCUGAGGCUGUCAGGACAGUAAAAGAGAAAAGCUUUAGACCUAGGCAGAGCUGGGAUUAACUCCUAGCUCCAUUCCUUCCCAGCUGUAUGACCUCAGGCAACUGGUAUGAUCUAUCUAAGCCUAGGUUUCCUCAUAAGUGAAAUUCAUGUAAAUACCAAGGACUGGUGUGAGGAUUAGAGAGGAUGUAUGUUCAGGCCAGGCUAGUGUUUACUGUGUUUGCAAAGUAUGAGGGACAGGCACUGGGCAUCCUCCCUCUGAGGAAGCAGCCACCAAAAUGUCACCUGCACACACCUUGGCAGCAAGUGCUCCUGGUGCCCUGACCUGAACCAAAGGCACCGUGUCAGGGGCUGUGUUCACCUGUCAAACAUCCAGCCAGCAGCACUGGUAUCACUUUCUCUGGCCACUAGAGCCCACUCUCCUCACACUCAGGGCAGGCCAGAAGUGGUAGGAAAUUAACACACUCUCCCCACCAAGAGCAGCCCUCAUCCAAUAGCUAAGUGGAAUCGGUGUCUAUGCGCUCCAGCCUUCUCCCCUGGGUGGGGUGAUACUGAGGUGCGUGUUCUGCACUGCCUCCGAGAACUGCCCAGUGGGGUGAAGCUCCAGGAACUCACAGCAGCUUCUCUGUGGGUGAUACACCUGUUAUUGGCAGCCUUCCCUUCCUCGGUAUUUCCUGGAGCCAUCUCUUUAUUUUAUUUUAUUUUAUUUAUUUUUUUUUUUUUAAGAUGGAGUCCUGCUCUGUCGCCCAGGCUGGAGUGCAGUGAUGCAAUCAUAUCUCACUGCAACCUCUACCUCCCAGGUUAAAGCAAUUCUCCUUCCUCAGCCUCCCAAGUAGCUGAGAUUACAGUUGCCUGCCACCAUGCAUGGCUAAUUUUUUUGUAUUUUUAGUAGAGACGGGGUUUCACCAAGUUCGACAGGCUGGUCUCAAACUCCUGAGAUCAGGUGAUCCACCAGCCUCGGCCUCCCAAAGUUCUGGGAUUACAGAGGCGUGAGCCACUGUGCCCGACCUUUAUUUUAUUAUUUUGUUUAUUUUUGAGACAGGAUCUCACUCUGUCACCCAGGCUGGAGUGCAGUGGUGCGAUCAUGGCUCACUGCAGUCUAGACCUUCUGGGCUCAAGUAAUCCUCCUGCAUCAGCCUCCGGAGUAGCUGUGACUACAGGCAUGUAACACCAGGCCUGGCUAAAUUUUUUUAAUUUUUCGUGGACACAGGUUCUCACUAUGUUGCCCAGGCUAGUCUCGAACUCCUGAGCUCAAGCAAUCUUCACACCUUCACCUCCCAAAAUGCUGGGAUUUCAGGUGUGAGCCACCAUGCCUGGCCUGCCACCUCUUAAAUACGCUUGUUUCACCCAAAUUCUUGGGUUUGCUUCUGGGAGAACCCAAACUUCCAGGAACAUAUCCUAUAAAUUAUCCUUACAUAUAUGCAAAAAUGACAUAUAUUUGAUUUAUUAACUCAGCAUUGAUGCAAUAACAAGAGAAUGAAAAUAGUAUAUCAAAAGAAGACUGGUUAAAUACAUUAUGGUACACUCACACAAUGGAAUACUAUGCAGCGGUAUAAAAGAAUGAAAAAGUAAUUUAUGUCUUAAUAUGAACCGAUGUCUGAGAAAUAUUGGUGAAAAAAAGCAAGAUACAGACCAAUAUAAAGUAUGCUACCAUUUGUGUAAAAAAGCUUGUGUGUGUGUAUGUGUGGUGUGUGUGCACACGUGCAUACACUUGCACAUCGCCUGGAAUCUGUCUGAAGGAAACCUCAAAACACAAUCUUGACUACCUUUAAGGAGGUGACUUGAAUAUCUGGAAAGGGAGACUUUUCACUGUACACUUGAAUGCCUUGUGAUUUUUGUACCAUAGACAAGCUUAUCCAUCCAAAAAAUUAAAGUCACAUUGAAAUAAUAAAUGAAUCCAGAAAGGAAGCUUCAUCAUUCCUCAGUGGGCAUCUUUAUUGGGCAUCAGCGCUGGUGUGGAGGAGGUUCCUG
This 2119-nucleotide long non-coding RNA is filed under the name Homo sapiens (human). RNAcentral's name for it is "lncAB222.1". Lineage: Eukaryota; Metazoa; Chordata; Mammalia; Primates; Hominidae. The record is from RNAcentral.